Balaenoptera ricei (Rice's whale) is the source of this 3568-nucleotide long non-coding RNA. RefSeq lists it as uncharacterized. The transcript has 3 exons. The record is from RefSeq and is a predicted model, not a curated record. NCBI's taxonomy places the organism in Eukaryota, Metazoa, Chordata, Mammalia, Artiodactyla, Balaenopteridae.
UGUUUCCCUUUGGGGGAGAUCUAACUGUCACGAGCGCUCUGAAGACUUUGCGUAAGGGGUUCCUGGUGUUCAUGUAACUGGUAUUCAUAAUAUCAAGGAAAAAUUAAGCCCAUCGAUUCAAACCUUGAAAAUGGUCGUAUUUGUAGGCCAUGAGCUAAAGUAUCAAAUAGUCCAUGACUUGAUGAUUUAAUGAUCACUCAUCAAAUUCGCCAAAUUGUGGCUUUCACCGUUGUCAGGGGAAAAAAAAAAUGUGUAAGUGGAUAGACUGGAAAGUCACAGGCUCAUAACUUUAGAGUGUUUAUUCAUCCACUGAACACUUCUUUAAGCACCUACUAUAUGUCAGGUAAUUUGCUGGAUGCUGGCAGACCAAUCCCUGCCACAAGGAUCUCAGAGUCUAGAGGAGGAAACAGCCAUAAAAUAAAUACAAGUGAGGACAGGGUAGCACAAAGAGGAAGGGCCUAAUCCUGGAAGCGAAGAGUCCAGCAGGGCUUCCUGGAGGACAUAUAAUAUCCAGAGAAUUUCAAGUAAACACGAUUUAAAGGGAAGACUUUCACUAUGGCAUCGUUUUGAAGAUCCAAAGCGUGAGGCUGUCUGAGCAGUGAAAUGAUGUUACAAUGAUCUUUCAAGUACAGUGUGGUGAUCUCAUCUGCCUUUUUACAGGCCCAGGACAAAGAUGCUCAACAGUCUUGGAUACAGGGAAGAGAGCAGACACUCCAGGUCUUAGAAAUAAACCUGAUCUCACAUUAGAAUCCAUGGUGCCUCAUCUAAGAAACUAAGGUUCUGGGGCUUCCCUGGUGGUACAGUGGUUAAGAAUCCGCCUGCCAAUGCAGGGGACAUUGCAGGGCUCGGGUUCGAGCCCUGGUCCGGGAAGAUCCCACAAGCUGCGGAGCAACUACGCCCGUGCAGCACAACUACUGAGCCUGCGCUCUAGAGCCCGUGUGCCACAACUACUGAAGCCCGCGCGCCACAACUACUGAGGCCCGCGUGCCUAGAGCCCGUGCUCCGCAGCAGGAGAGGCCACCGCAGUGAGAAGCCUGCGCUCCGCGACAAAGAGUAGCCCCCGCUCGCUGCAACUGGAGGGGGCCCGUGCGCAGCAACAAAGACCUAACGCAGCCAUAAAUAAAUAAAUAAAUAAAUAAAUAAAUAAAUAAAUAAAUAAAUAAAUAGAAAGAAAGAAAGAAACCAAGGUUCUGGAACUGCAAAACCUUAUCUGAAGAUGUGAUCAUUGCAACGGUAAUAAGGCAAUGGUAACAGCGCAAUAUAUUUUGUUAUGUAUUACAGCAACCCUAAACCAGCCCAUGAAUUAAAUAAAGUUGUACAAGUAGGGGAAUGCAGACAGUGGAAGCUGUAUGGCCAUCUGAAAGCCUGGGCAUUUACUCUGAGGAGCAUCUGUCAGCUGGCAUUACACAUGUCCCAGGAUAAACUGGGUAAGGCAGCAGAAAGUGCUAGGGUGAGGUCUUUCAGAGACCCAGCUCUAGCUGUGAACUCCAUGAACCUGGGCAAGUUCCCUAAACCUCUGGGCCUGUUUUCUUACCUAUGAAACAGGAUGAUAGUGCUAUCACAGACUUGUAAGAGUGUAUGAGAAUUUGGCCUGCAUUUUGUUCAAUUUCCUUUUAAAGGCAACCCCUGAAUUUGAGAGCCUCUGAUUUUAUCACUGUUUCUAAAAUCAUAACCAAGCUCACCCUCCAGUAAUAAAUUGCAGUUUCUGACUACUAAGUAACCACAACCUACGCCUCUGCUGAGCAGGUCAAGAUAGGGCUCCCGGUUCACCACAUCCUGCUGGGGCAGGUCCUGUGAGCUGGGAGACGACGCACAACAGGCAGACAAGGUCCUUGCUCUCCCAGCGUUAAAUCAACAUCAGCUGACUCAGCCUGGUCGCGGAACAAAUACAAUAUCCAGUUUUUUACAGUAGAUUUUCUUGAGAUUAUGCAACUUUUUGUGUUCUUUUAUCUGAUGGCCCAGAAUGUAAAAGGGGCAAAAAGUCAAGAGAAGCCUUCGUUUGACCACCAACCUCAACGUUGGUUCAGUGUUUUAUAUUCUCGCCCAUCUUUCUCACUUGAUGCAGGAAGCACUCUCAACCCUCAGUUUUUCCUUACAGUUACAUUGUGGCUUGAUUUUUUCAAGGCAACUGCCUUCAAGUUUGGCCUGGUCCAGCUUUCUUGGGGAGCUCCCCAACCUGGCCUUAGUCUGUAAUAUCACCAAAGGCAGGAGUGGGCUUUUAAAAUAUUUUGCAGAAACAAACAAAGAUGAGUAUGUAUGACGCUGUUGUCCACGAAACCAAGAUAAGAUUACUCUUGAGGAUGGGUGGGGAAGGCAGACUUCAUGAGACAACCGAGGGUCCUGGCAAGACAGUGGUGCCCUUCACCCCUUCACAUAUUUGUCACGGGGAUUUGGCAGCUCAUAUGCGGAGAAAGCGAAAGAUCAGUGUCUGAGUAAGUGAGGGAACAUUAGUGAGGAGCUAAUUGGGAUCAAAUAGGUUUUUAAAGUGUAUCUUUCCUCUCUCUCUCAUUUGGGAUAAGCCCCUUCCGUUUCACAAUCUGGCUAUUCAAACAAGCACAUUUAAUAUUGACCCACUUUCUUUUGUACAAUGGUUUAUUAUAAAGAACAUCUGCAGCAUAUUUAACGGGCCUAGUUAUUCUCAGGUUAUCUGAGGGUGUGUUGUAGGUAUUCCCUGCUCAUAUAUGAACUCUUCCGGAGAGGCAGCAACGCCUCUGGGGCCGUUGAAUCCUGACCCUCUGACUUGCCAUUUCUGGGACCGCCAGUAAGUCAGUUAAGCUUUCUGUGCCUCUGUUUUUUCAUUCAUAGAAUGUGAAUAGUAAUAAUAACUACACCAACUGGUUGUCAGGACUAUUAAAUAAGUUACUAUUUAAAAGUAUUUGGAACAAUGUCUAACACAAACUAAGUGUUUUACAAGAAUCUGUUGAAUAAAUAAAUUUUAAAAUAACAAAAAAAUAUGGCAACUGAAACAAGUGGAUGAAGAUGAGGUUGGAAGAUGUAGCUUGGUGUGUAACUUGGUGUAAGAAUCUCCAGUAACAGAGAUGCCCUAAAUAUAAAUAUGAAUGCCCUUUCAUUUUCCAUGAGAAAAGAUGAAUCCUAAAAAAAUGUUUCUAAUGGAUAUAUUCAUAUGAAUCAAAACCGGAAAUAGUCCAAAUGUCCAUCAAUAGGAAAUGGAUAACCAAAUUGUGGUAUAUUUAUAAAACAUAAUACAGUUGAACAAUAAACCGAUUAAGCUACUGAUGUGUGCAAAACAUAGAAGAGUCUCAAAAACUUCUGUUGAGCAAAAGAGUACAUAUUAUAUGAUUUCCUUUAUAUGAAGUUCAAGAUCAACAAUAUAAAUAUAUGGUGAUAUGGAUUAAAAGAAUGAUUUCUGGGGUUGGAGUUGAGGAUUGAUUGGAAAGGGGAAUGAGGUAUCUUUCCAGGAAGAUGGGAGUGUUAUCUAUCUUUAUUUGGGUGCUGGUAACAUGGAAUAUAUAUUUUAAAAAAUCUUCUCAAGUGUAUAUUUCAGAUCUGUGCAUUUUACUCUAAGUGAAUUACAUGCAAUAAAAUAAAAACUGACAAAAUAAAUAAA